Molecule: transfer RNA, 60 nt
Filed under: Mus musculus (house mouse)
Lineage: Eukaryota; Metazoa; Chordata; Mammalia; Rodentia; Muridae
Also listed under: 1 other name
Rfam family: tRNA
About the family: Transfer RNA (tRNA) molecules are approximately 80 nucleotides in length. Their secondary structure includes four short double-helical elements and three loops (D, anti-codon, and T loops). Further hydrogen bonds mediate the characteristic L-shaped molecular structure. tRNAs have two regions of fundamental functional importance: the anti-codon, which is responsible for specific mRNA codon recognition, and the 3' end, to which the tRNAs corresponding amino acid is attached (by aminoacyl-tRNA synthetases). tRNAs cope with the degeneracy of the genetic code in two manners: having more than one tRNA (with a specific anti-codon) for a particular amino acid; and 'wobble' base-pairing, i.e. permitting non-standard base-pairing at the 3rd anti-codon position.
Source: Rfam by way of RNAcentral
GUAGCUCAGUGGUUAAGAGCGCUGGAUGAUCUUCCAGAGAACUCGGGUUCAAUUCCCAGC